UCGGCUCCUUGUCUCAGAAGCAACUGUCACGCUGAGCCUAAUUGCUGGAGAUGGUUGACGGCUCUGGGUGGACAGCCUCCUGAAGUUGGUUUUUGGCCCAUGGUCAAUUAUUUGGGCUUCUGUGCAGUGGGGAUAUAAGGAUGAUUAAGAUCCGCAGACAACCCAACAGCCCUUGUUUACCAUUAACUUCCUUCUUCUCGGCAGCCGAGUUUCUCCAGGCACCGGAGGCAGCGAGGUGCGGUGCGAGCCUGUCUGGGUUGGGACCUCAGCUCUUCCCCCCACCCGUGUGCUAUAUGGCUACAGUCACGGAGGGUGUCGCAAGCUAUGGUCCUCCUGGAGUGCCUUUCUCCUUCUUCUCUGCCUAAUCCGUUCCUACCUACCCUCCACACACUGGCUGAACGAAUGGACAUGCACAGAUCAGCUGCAAAGAGCAACCUGAUCCCAGAACCUCGGCUCCCAUGACUGGUGUGAAACAUGAACAGAAAAAUGGAAGGAAGCCUGCCGACACAGACACUCUAGAAGCUGAGCUCUGACAAAGAAUGCUGUCGGCAGUCCCGAGCCACACGUCUUCAAGGAAGAAUGAAGUCCCGGUGCUUUUGGAGCAGAAGAGGACUUUCUAGAAGGACACACCGAGGACUGGUGAGUUUGGAGGGACUUGCCUUGCUAGCAGAGGACAAAAUCAGGUCUCAGGUCCAGGUUCGUAAAUGUAAUUUCAACUCUUUGCACCAGGUGCUACCACUGUCAAUCUCCUCGGCGCUCAGCAUCCUCUUGGCUUCUUCCUACAAGACUGGGGACCCUUCCCUGAGGACUCGUUGGCUGCAGAAGCUUGCUGUUCUAUCACAGGACGGGCCGAAAUGCCAGACAGUGUGCAACCCCAAACAUUGAGAUGGGGAGCUGGCGUAAAUAUCACACCUCGCAUGCUACUCAUGGGGAGGGGGCAGCUCUGAGUCGUCAACCUCACAGAGGUCCGCUGCGAGGCUGUACUCAGGUGCCCAGUUCAGCCAUCGGUUCAUUAAUGUGAGCUGUGCUAAAUCCUGUCCUUUCCUGGCUCUCUGCUGUGCGCCUCCAAUUGCGUUUCCUGGGAUCCUGUCCCAAAUAAGCCACUUGAACUCAGAACCCUGUCUCCAAAUUGGCUUCUGGGGCAAUCCACCUGCAAAUGACUUUCUUUUUAUUGUACUCAAGUGAUUUAAGGAGAGGAGACUCUGGCUCCUAGGAUAAGGACACUACAGAGAUGACAUCUCCAGGAUAUGACUCCUUUGAGCAGAUGGCAAAUCAUCUUUCCAUUGUUGUCCAGUGGUUACAAUAGCUGAUAGGAGAUGUUACGCUGCCAUUCUUUUCUUCAAUCCGUGAUGUUUAUUGAUCUUCUACGCUGGUCAGGCAUGGGCUGGACACUGGAUGUGUAGACUGGGUCAGAGCCUUCAAGGCUAGCAGGAGGAUGGCAGUAUUUAUUCACUCAUACAUUCGUAUACUUUCAUGUAAUAAAUCUCUAUUGAGGGCC
Long non-coding RNA from Herpailurus yagouaroundi (jaguarundi), 1498 nucleotides. RefSeq lists it as uncharacterized. Lineage: Eukaryota; Metazoa; Chordata; Mammalia; Carnivora; Felidae. The record is from RefSeq and is a predicted model, not a curated record. The transcript is spliced from 2 exons.